Molecule: ribosomal RNA, 429 nt
Filed under: Chloroflexota bacterium
Lineage: Bacteria; Bacillati; Chloroflexota
Description: Chloroflexi bacterium partial 16S ribosomal RNA
Rfam family: Bacterial small subunit ribosomal RNA
Source: RNAcentral
UGGGGAAUAUUGCACAAUGGGCGCAAGCCUGAUGCAGCCAUGCCGCGUGUAUGAAGAAGGCCUUCGGGUUGUAAAGUACUUUCAGCGGGGAGGAAGGGAGUAAAGUUAAUACCUUUGCUCAUUGACGUUACCCGCAGAAGAAGCACCGGCUAACUCCGUGCCAGCAGCCGCGGUAAUACGGAGGGUGCAAGCGUUAAUCGGAAUUACUGGGCGUAAAGCGCACGCAGGCGGUUUGUUAAGUCAGAUGUGAAAUCCCCGGGCUCAACCUGGGAACUGCAUCUGAUACUGGCAAGCUUAAGUCUCGUAGAGGGGGGUAGAAUUCCAGGUGUAGCGGUGAAAUGCGUAGAGAUCUGGAGGAAUACCGGUGGCGAAGGCGGCCCCCUGGACGAAGACUGACGCUCAGGUGCGAAAGCGUGGGGAGCAAACAGG